This 521-nucleotide ribosomal RNA is filed under the name Bifidobacterium breve. RNAcentral's name for it is "bacterial SSU rRNA". It matches the Rfam family "Bacterial small subunit ribosomal RNA", at positions 165 to 696 of the family's 1533-position model. Lineage: Bacteria; Bacillati; Actinomycetota; Actinomycetes; Bifidobacteriales; Bifidobacteriaceae. The record is from RNAcentral.
AAUGCCGGAUGCUCCAUCACACCGCAUGGUGUGUUGGGAAAGCCUUUGCGGCAUGGGAUGGGGUCGCGUCCUAUCAGCUUGAUGGCGGGGUAACGGCCCACCAUGGCUUCGACGGGUAGCCGGCCUGAGAGGGCGACCGGCCACAUUGGGACUGAGAUACGGCCCAGACUCCUACGGGAGGCAGCAGUGGGGAAUAUUGCACAAUGGGCGCAAGCCUGAUGCAGCGACGCCGCGUGAGGGAUGGAGGCCUUCGGGUUGUAAACCUCUUUUGUUAGGGAGCAAGGCACUUCGUGUUGAGUGUACCUUUCGAAUAAGCACCGGCUAACUACGUGCCAGCAGCCGCGGUAAUACGUAGGGUGCAAGCGUUAUCCGGAAUUAUUGGGCGUAAAGGGCUCGUAGGCGGUUCGUCGCGUCCGGUGUGAAAGUCCAUCGCUUAACGGUGGAUCCGCGCCGGGUACGGGCGGGCUUGAGUGCGGUAGGGGAGACUGGAAUUCCCGGUGUAACGGUGGAAUGUGUAGAUA